RNAcentral lists this ribosomal RNA (49 nucleotides) under Monosporascus cannonballus. Its description in RNAcentral is "partial 28S ribosomal RNA". The record is from RNAcentral. Lineage: Eukaryota; Fungi; Ascomycota; Sordariomycetes; Xylariales.
AAUGGUUGACCUCGGAUCAGGUAGGACUACCCGCUGAACUUAAGCAUAU